Molecule: ribosomal RNA, 464 nt
Filed under: uncultured bacterium
Lineage: Bacteria
Description: partial 16S ribosomal RNA
Rfam family: Bacterial small subunit ribosomal RNA
Source: RNAcentral
CUACGGGCGGCAGCAGUGGGGAAUAUUGCACAAUGGGCGCAAGCCUGAUGCAGCCAUGCCGCGUGUAUGAAGAAGGCCUUCGGGUUGUAAAGUACUUUCAGCGGGGAGGAAGGGAGUAGAGUUAAUACCUUUGCUCAUUGACGUUACCCGCAGAAGAAGCACCGGCUAACUCCGUGCCAGCAGCCGCGGUAAUACGGAGGGUGCAAGCGUUAAUCGGAAUUACUGGGCGUAAAGCGCACGCAGGCGGUUUGUUAAGUCAGAUGUGAAAUCCCCGGGCUCAACCUGGGAACUGCAUCUGAUACUGGCAAGCUUGAGUCUCGUAGAGGGGGGUAGAAUUCCAGGUGUAGCAGUGAAAUGCGUAGAGAUCUGGAGGAAUACCGGUGGCGAAGGCGGCCCCCUGGACGAAGACUGACGCUCAGGUGCGAAAGCGUGGGGAGCAAACAGGAUUAGAUACCCCAGUAGUC